AACGAACGCUGGCGGCAGGCCUAACACAUGCAAGUCGAACGAGAAGCCACCUUCGGGUGGUGGACAGUGGCAGACGGGUGAGUAACGCGUGGGAACGUGCCUUUCGGUUCGGAAUAACCCAGGGAAACUUGGGCUAAUACCGGAUACGCCCUUCGGGGGAAAGAUUCAUCGCCGAAAGAUCGGCCCGCGUCGGAUUAGCUAGUUGGUGGGGUAACGGCUCACCAAGGCUGUGAUGGGUAGCCGACCUGAGAGGGUGACCGGCCACACUGGGACUGAGACACUGCCCAGACUCCUACGGGAGGCUGCAGUCGAGAAUCUUCCGCAAUGCGCGCAAGCGUGACGGAGCGACGCCGCGUGGGUGAUGAAGGCCUUCGGGUUGUAAAGCCCUGUCAGCUACUAUGAAUCGCGGGUGGUGAAUAGCCAUCCCGCUUGACCUAAGUAGCAGAGGAAGCACCGGCUAACUACGUGC
Molecule: ribosomal RNA, 469 nt
Filed under: uncultured bacterium
Lineage: Bacteria
Description: bacterial SSU rRNA
Rfam family: Bacterial small subunit ribosomal RNA
Source: RNAcentral